Zootermopsis nevadensis is the source of this 2188-nucleotide non-coding RNA. The record is from RefSeq and is a predicted model, not a curated record. NCBI's taxonomy places the organism in Eukaryota, Metazoa, Arthropoda, Insecta, Blattodea, Termopsidae.
CACUUUCUUGUCUGUAGUUACGUAUCAAAACGUUAAUGGUAAGUUCAAUUAAGAUACAAACAUUUAUGCAUUUACGGUGAACUGUUUUACGUCGUGUUAAAUUUUAAGUUACUGUAAUUCCUUCUUAUCUAUUGAAUAUUUCAGGAGGCGGCUGUUCAGGGCAGGUUUGUACUUUGAAUACGUAUGCUGGCAAUUCCAUUGUAUGGGUUACUACACCAUACCCUGCUCCCCAGCCGUUCAUGGGUUCGGCUUACAACAGGACUUCUGGUACACUGUGUCACGGUCCAGAAGACUACUUUGUGAAGAGGAAAUGGUGUAAGAACUAAGCGGCAGAAGACGCAGCCAAGCUACAACAGUGCCAAGGAGACGAAUGUUUGGAUUUGAGACGACGAAACCAUGUGUUCUGAGUGCAGGAAUAAAUUACAUUGCGUCUCCAACUGCGAAUGGGAAAUGUGUUAACAUUGGUUGACACUCUAUGUUCAUAGAAGUAUGAAAGACAAUGUAAGAUGAAUCUGACAACACUUACUGUGAAAUAGGAAGGAAUCCACACGAAGACUUUAAAGUGGAAGUGAAUAACUGGCAGGAGAUAAAGCAGAAUUUAUAUUGAAAUCCCGGAUCUGAUUAAUAUCUACACAGAUAUCGACAGCCUUGGCUUCAGAGAUUGAAGUCUCCAAAUCAAUAUCACAUAACUACAUUCAAAGGAAGAUACUUUUUAAAAUAUGAAAAGAAGCACGCUUGUAUGUUCUAUCGACAUUUUCUAAAUUAAAACUAAUCUUUUUUAUUAUAUCGAUUCAUUCUAUUCAAACGUUUAUAACUUUUUAGAUAUUUAAAGAUAUAUUUAUUAAAACCUGUAUAAUAGAUGCUGGUUUCGUAGUGCACGUGGUAUUUCUAAACUAUUUGUUGCUUCUCCUUGUUACCUUCGAAGUGAGUUUAUUUUAAAUAAUAUUAUUUCUGUCUUAUAUAUUCUAACAAGAUAUUACUUAUGUAUUACUUACACUAAUCUGCAUUCAUCUUCAACACAACAGGACAGAUUAAAAUUAAUUCACUGAAAGAAACGAAUACUAAUCAUAUCCAAUAUAUUGAUGUUAAGAACCAAAGGUUGUGACGUCAUAUAUUAUUUAUAUUAUUUACUACGCCAUAGUUAAAAACCUUGUAAACAAUAAACAUCCAUUUACGUCAUUCAGCGUGUUUUCUCUUACAAACCGAUACACAACAGCAACAGAAAAAAUUGUGAGGGGAAAAAGGAGUUAGAAAUAUAAGAAAGAAUUUACAUCCAAGUGUAUUCUUUAAUUACUUGAUUUGAAAUAGAGAAUAUAAUGACUAUAAUAAUGGUAAGAACAAAACUGUAAUGGAAUCCUUUUUGAAGUGCAUUGAAAUUCCGAGAGCGUUUUUCACCCCACAUCGUAGCCGUUGAGGUUGUUCGGGCGAUCAUAAGCAAGAAUGGUGUUUAAGGUUGUGUUAAAAUAAUGAGAUUCGAGGUUGUUGUUGCAACAAUUUUACCCAACAGCGAAUUCCGUGCAUAUUGUUGCAUUAAUGUGUUCUGGCAAUUACCAUGGCGCACACAGCGGUGACAGUGUGUUUGUACAAUAACCUGGGCCACACCGUUGCAACCAGGACGCUGGAAGCUGGAGCCUGUCUAGGCCUGCAAGCCAAGACACGAGAGAGGAGAUACGUGAGACCAGCUAGUGAUAAUGAAUUCUGGGGAAAUUUCUGUCUUCACGGGUGGUAUUUCCAAUCUUGGGGAGCCCUUUGUGGAGGAAGCCGGACUUAGUCAAUGAUUUGCAGGUUCUGGAUUUCGUCUAGCUAUGUAAUAGGCCAAGUGACAACUAGCAGUCCGUCGAUGGCUAGCCCCGUGUUUUCUAACCCCUACAGUUUGUAGUCUAAUGGCUUCCAAACACAGCAAAAGCAAAGAUAAGGAAUUUAAGUAAAAGUGGGCAAGGGGGUGAGAGGUGAGGCCUGUUGGGCAAUGUCCCCGAAGUAGCAAGCACUCAGAGUAAGAAGGCUGUAGGAAAGCCAGGUUUCUGAAGCUGUGGGGGAGUCAACGCCGGUUUGUGGUAAGAUUUGGGUGUAAGGAAGUUUCUGGGAUUUUGAGGUGAAAACGUCUUUAAAAUCGAUGCCGGGUGAGGGGAGGCAAUCGCGCCCAAAUGACCGACAGUUUCUGUCGAAAUAAUUUCAAACUUCAAUAACU